GCCUAUGCAGCUCAUGAUGAAAAUACAGUUGGUAGAGCAUUAGACUCUUAAGCUCAGGGUUGUGGGUUCAAGUCACACUUUGGGCA
Podarcis lilfordi (Lilford's wall lizard) is the source of this 86-nucleotide non-coding RNA. The record is from the annotation of a GenBank genome assembly. NCBI's taxonomy places the organism in Eukaryota, Metazoa, Chordata, Lepidosauria, Squamata, Lacertidae.